CCUAACACAUGCAAGUCGAACGAGCAAAUACAUUUGAUUUCUUCGGAAUGAAGAUGUAGGCGCGAGUGGCGGACGGGUGAGUAACGCGUGAGUAAUCUGCCUCAUACAGGAGAAUAACACUAAGAAAUUGGUGCUAAUACUCCAUAAGCUCACAUUAUGACAUCAUAGAGUGAGAAAAGAUUUAUCGGUAUGAGAGGAGCUCGCGUCUGAUUAGCUAGUUGGUGGGGUAACGGCCUACCAAGGCAACGAUCAGUAGCCGACCUGAGAGGGUGAUCGGCCACAUUGGAACUGAGACACGGUCCAAACUCCUACGGGAGGCAGCAGUGGGGAAUAUUGCACAAUGGGGGAAACCCUGAUGCAGCAACGCCGCGUGAAGGAAGAAGUAUUUCGGUAUGUAAACUUCUAUCGACAGGGAAGAAACAAAUGACGGUACCUGAAUAAGAAGCACCGGCUAAAUACGUGCCAGCAGCCGCGGUAAUACGUAUGGUGCAAGCGUUAUCCGGAUUUACUGGGUGUAAAGGGUGAGUAGGCGGUCAUGCAAGUCAUAUGUGAAAUGUCAGGGCUUAACCUUGGCGCUGCAUAAGAAACUGUAUGACUAGAGUGCAGGAGAGGUAAGCGGAAUUCCUAGUGUAGCGGUGAAAUGCGUAGAUAUUAGGAAGAACACCGGUGGCGAAGGCGGCUUACUGGACUGUUACUGACGCUGAGUCACGAAAGCGUGGGGAGCAAACAGGAUUAGAUACCCUGGUAGUCCACGCC
RNAcentral lists this ribosomal RNA (756 nucleotides) under uncultured bacterium. Its description in RNAcentral is "bacterial SSU rRNA". It matches the Rfam family "Bacterial small subunit ribosomal RNA", at positions 47 to 801 of the family's 1533-position model. The record is from RNAcentral.